RNAcentral lists this ribosomal RNA (389 nucleotides) under uncultured bacterium. RNAcentral describes it as "bacterial SSU rRNA". It matches the Rfam family "Bacterial small subunit ribosomal RNA", at positions 29 to 418 of the family's 1533-position model. The record is from RNAcentral.
AUUGAACGCUGGCGGCAUGCCUUACACAUGCAAGUCGAACGGCAGCACGGGGGCAACCCUGGUGGCGAGUGGCGGACGGGUGAGUAAUGCAUCGGAACGUGCCCUGAAGUGGGGGAUAACGCAGCGAAAGCUACGCUAAUACCGCAUAUUCUGUGAGCAGGAAAGCAGGGGAUCGCAAGACCUUGCGCUUUGGGAGCGGCCGAUGUCGGAUUAGCUAGUUGGUGGGGUAAAGGCCUACCAAGGCGACGAUCCGUAGCGGGUCUGAGAGGAUGAUCCGCCACACUGGGACUGAGACACGGCCCAGACUCCUACGGGAGGCAGCAGUGGGGAAUUUUUGGACAAUGGGCGAAAGCCUGAUCCAGCCAUGCCGCGUGAGUGAAGAAGGCCUU